CUGUAUAAAAUACAUAUGCCACAUUGCGUGAAUAUAUAUAACAUAUAAUAUAUACGUUCACACGUGUAUACUAUGUUAACGCGCAUAUGACGGUUCCGUGAUAUGAUAUGAGUGGACGCUCGUCGUGUUUAUAUCUAUCUAUAUUGCGGUCCGUUUAAAUAUUGUCUAACGACACACGUUGAUUAUAUAUUUAUAUAUCAUACGACAAUGUUAGAGAUUAUUAUAAUAUCGGUCGAACGAUCGACGGUGUUACCGCUGAUGCGCUCUCUAUAUAUAUAUAUAUAUAUAUAUAUACGGCGUAACGCGGGACGCUUUCGACUCUUCGAGUUUGAGUGUUAUGUAACAAUAUCACACACAUACGAGAGGGUUGAUGGCGUGUUCAUGUUUUUUAAACAAGUUCAACGCCGUUCACAUGUCGCGAGACAAAUAAAUCUCUAUAUAACAAUUGACGUAUACACACACAAAUGAUAUAUAAGCCUUUUAAAUCAUCGACAGUAGGCGGACUCGACGUCCGAAGAGCGCAUCGACGCCGUCGUCGUUAUCGAUCGUUAAUGUAACGUAUCGUAGCGGUUGCGUCGUCGUAACGCUGACGGAUAUCGCGUCUGCCUCAUUUUUUUAUCGUUGGCCUCAGAUCAGGGAGGAUCACCCGCCGAAUUUAAGCAUAUUAGUAAGCGGAGGAAAAGAAACUAACUAGGAUUUCCUUAGUAGCGGCGAGCGAACAGGAAUGAAGCCCAGCACUGAAUCCCGCCGUUGUUCAGGCGGCGGGAGAUGUGGUGUUCGGGAGGUUCCGCUUUCUCGUCGCGAUCGCUCCUGUCCAAGUUCGUCUUGAACGGGGCCGUUUUCCCGUAGAGGGUGCCAGGCCCGUAGCGACGGAGGAUCGCGGCGAGAGGGACUCUCCUUAGAGUCGGGUUGCUUGAGAGUGCAGCCCUAAGUGGGUGGUAA
RNAcentral lists this small RNA (942 nucleotides) under Catocala amatrix. RNAcentral's name for it is "eukaryotic LSU rRNA". The stretch from base 623 to 942 matches the Rfam family "Eukaryotic large subunit ribosomal RNA", at positions 1 to 302 of the family's 3401-position model. The record is from RNAcentral. Lineage: Eukaryota; Metazoa; Arthropoda; Insecta; Lepidoptera; Erebidae.